GGACGGGUGAGUAACACGUGGAUAACCUACCUAUAAGACUGGGAUAACUUCGGGAAACCGGAGCUAAUACCGGAUAAUAUAUUGAACCGCAUGGUUCAAUAGUGAAAGACGGUUUUGCUGUCACUUAUAGAUGGAUCCGCGCCGCAUUAGCUAGUUGGUAAGGUAACGGCUUACCAAGGCGACGAUGCGUAGCCGACCUGAGAGGGUGAUCGGCCACACUGGAACUGAGACACGGUCCAG
Molecule: ribosomal RNA, 240 nt
Filed under: uncultured Staphylococcus sp.
Lineage: Bacteria; Bacillati; Bacillota; Bacilli; Caryophanales; Staphylococcaceae
Description: partial 16S ribosomal RNA
Rfam family: Bacterial small subunit ribosomal RNA
Source: RNAcentral